GAUGAACGCUGACGGCGUGCCUAAUACAUGCAAGUCGAGCGAACGGACGAGAAGCUUGCUUCUCUGAUGUUAGCGGCGGACGGGUGAGUAACACGUGGAUAACCUACCUAUAAGACUGGGAUAACUUCGGGAAACCGGAGCUAAUACCGGAUAAUAUUUUGAACCGCAUGGUUCAAAAGUGAAAGACGGUCUUGCUGUCACUUAUAGAUGGAUCCGCGCUGCAUUAGCUAGUUGGUAAGGUAACGGCUUACCAAGGCAACGAUGCAUAGCCGACCUGAGAGGGUGAUCGGCCACACUGGAACUGAGACACGGUCCAGACUCCUACGGGAGGCAGCAGUAGGGAAUCUUCCGCGAUGGGCGAAAGCCUGACGGAGCAACGCCGCGUGAGUGAUGAAGGUCUUCGGAUCGUAAAACUCUGUUAUUAGGGAAGAACAUAUGUGUAAGUAACUGUGCACAUCUUGACGGUACCUAAUCAGAAAGCCACGGCUAACUACGUG
Molecule: ribosomal RNA, 497 nt
Filed under: uncultured bacterium
Lineage: Bacteria
Description: partial 16S ribosomal RNA
Rfam family: Bacterial small subunit ribosomal RNA
Source: RNAcentral